AAUUAUUAUUAGAUUUUUAAAUAAUUAUUCACGAAAUAAAUUGAGCUAAAUUUUUGGUAUUUUUGGAAAUUAUAACUAUAUGUUACAAAAUAUAUUAACUAAAUAGAUUUAGGGGUGAAAGGCCUAUCAAAUUUUAUGAUAUCUUGAAGUAUAUAAAAUAUAUCAAGUAUUUCUAAUUCAACUAUUGAAUGUUUAGGUUCAAUAGUAACAUUAUAUUUUUUAAAAAAUUGUUCAAUUUUUUUAAGUAAAAUUGAGUUAGAGCAUAAAAUAUACAUCAAAUUUUUAUUAUAUGAAUAUAAAUAUACUACGGUUAUUAAUAAAUAUAAUCAUAUAUAAUGUAAUUAUUAGUAAUAGUUUAUUAAACUAUAUAAAGGAAUUCGGCAAGAAAAUUUUUCACCUGUUUAUCAAAAACAUAGCUUAUUGAAUAUCAUAAUAAGUAACCCCUGCUCAAUGGAAAUCUAAAUAGCCGCAGUACCUUGACUGUGCAAAGGUAGCAUAAUCAAUUGGCUUAUAAUUGAAGUCUGGAAUGAAUGGGUAAUCUGGAAAAUAACUGUCUUUAUUUGUAGUAUUUUGAAUUUACUUAUAAAGUGAAAAUACUUUAAUAUAAAUAUAAGACGAGAAGACCCUAGAAAUUUUUUGUCAAUAACUUUUGUUGGGGCGACAGGGUAACAUAUAAACUUACUUACAUUUAUAUAAAUCUUAUAAGGUACGUAACUAAAUUACUCUAGGGAUAACAGCAUAAUAUAUAAAAGUUUAUGACCUCGAUGUUGGACUAGGUAAUUAAAUAUUUAAAAGAUAUCUUAAUUUGCUCUGUUCGAGCAGUAUCACCUACAU
This 834-nucleotide ribosomal RNA is filed under the name Perforatella incarnata. RNAcentral describes it as "Monachoides incarnatus partial large subunit ribosomal RNA". Lineage: Eukaryota; Metazoa; Mollusca; Gastropoda; Stylommatophora; Hygromiidae. The record is from RNAcentral.